GGGGACGUGGCGGAAUGGUAGACGCAGCGGCCUUAAAAGCCGCAGCCGCAAGGCGUGUGGGUUCGAGUCCCACCGUCCCUAC
This 82-nucleotide transfer RNA is filed under the name Caulobacter sp. NIBR1757. Its description in RNAcentral is "tRNA-Leu". It matches the Rfam family "tRNA". Rfam says of the family: Transfer RNA (tRNA) molecules are approximately 80 nucleotides in length. Their secondary structure includes four short double-helical elements and three loops (D, anti-codon, and T loops). Lineage: Bacteria; Pseudomonadati; Pseudomonadota; Alphaproteobacteria; Caulobacterales; Caulobacteraceae. The record is from RNAcentral.